AUACGGAGGGUGCGAGCGUUGUUCGGAAUUAUUUGGCGUAAAGAGCAUGUAGGCGGUCUGUUAAGUCUGGUGUGAAAGCCCGGGGCUCAACCCCGGAAGUGCAUUUGAUACUGGCAGACUUGAGUAUGGGAGAGGAAAGCGGAAUUCCGAGUGUAGGAGUGAAAUCCGUAGAUAUUCGGAGGAACACCAGUGGCGAAGGCGGCUUUCUGGACCAAUACUGACGCUGAGAUGCGAAAGCGUGGGGAGCGAACAGGAUUAGAUACCCUAGUAGUCC
This 274-nucleotide ribosomal RNA is filed under the name uncultured bacterium. RNAcentral describes it as "partial 16S ribosomal RNA". It matches the Rfam family "Bacterial small subunit ribosomal RNA", at positions 523 to 796 of the family's 1533-position model. The record is from RNAcentral.